This 292-nucleotide ribosomal RNA is filed under the name uncultured bacterium. Its description in RNAcentral is "partial 16S ribosomal RNA". It matches the Rfam family "Bacterial small subunit ribosomal RNA", at positions 505 to 796 of the family's 1533-position model. The record is from RNAcentral.
GUGUCAGCAGCCGCGGUAAUACGUAGGGUGCAAGCGUUGUCCGGAAUUAUUGGGCGUAAAGAGCUCGUAGGCGGUUUGUUGCGUCGGCUGUGAAAUCCCGAGGCUCAACCUCGGGUCUGCAGUCGAUACGAGCAAACUAGAGUGUUGCAGGGGAGACUGGAAUUCCUGGUGUAGCGGUGAAAUGCGCAGAUAUCAGGAGGAACACCGGUGGCGAAGGCGGGUCUCUGGGCAACAACUGACGCUGAGGAGCGAAAGCGUGGGGAGCGAACAGGAUUAGAAACCCCCGUAGUCC